RNAcentral lists this transfer RNA (71 nucleotides) under Afrogecko porphyreus. RNAcentral's name for it is "tRNA-Tyr". The record is from RNAcentral. Lineage: Eukaryota; Metazoa; Chordata; Lepidosauria; Squamata; Gekkonidae.
GGUAGGGUGGCCGAGAUAGUAGGCAGCGAGUUGUAGCCUCGCGCACGAGGGGUUGAUGCCCUCCACUACCA